RNAcentral lists this ribosomal RNA (505 nucleotides) under uncultured bacterium. RNAcentral describes it as "bacterial SSU rRNA". It matches the Rfam family "Bacterial small subunit ribosomal RNA", at positions 28 to 526 of the family's 1533-position model. The record is from RNAcentral.
GAUGAACGCUAGCGGCAGGCCUAACACAUGCAAGUCGAGGGGUAACAGGGAAGCUUGCUUCCGCUGACGACCGGCGCACGGGUGAGUAACGCGUAUACAACCUGCCUAUCACACAGGAAUAGCCCUUGGAAACGAGGAUUAAUGCCUGAUGGUUUUGUAAGACCGCAUGGUUUAACAAAUAAAGAUUUAUCGGUGGUAGAUGGGUAUGCGUAAUAUUAGCUAGUUGGUAAGGUAACGGCUUACCAAGGCGACGAUAUUUAGGGGGUCUUAAAGGAUGAUCCUCCACACUGGUACUGAGACACGGACCAGACUCCUACGGGAGGCAGCAGUGAGGAAUAUUGGUCAAUGGACGCAAGUCUGAACCAGCCAUGCCGCGUGAGGGACUACGGUUCUAUGGAUUGUAAACCUCUUUUCUACAGGAAGAAUAAGGAUCUCGUGAGGUCUGAUGACUGUACUGUAGGAAUAAGCACCGGCUAACUCCGUGCCAGCCGCCGCCGAGUAAGAC